AACGUAGGAGACAAACGUUAUCCGGAGUUACUGGGCGUAAAGGGCGUGUAGGUGGUUUCGUAAGUCUGGCGUGAAAUAUCUCGGCUUAACCGAGGCAGGUCGUCGGAUACUGCGGAACUAGAGGACGGUAGAGGCGUGUGGAAUUCCGGGUGUAGUGGUGAAAUGCGUAGAUAUCGGAAGGAACAUCAGUGGCGAAAGCGACUUCCUGGACCAAUACUGACGCUCAUGUGCGAAAGCGUGGGGAGCAAACAGG
This 253-nucleotide ribosomal RNA is filed under the name uncultured bacterium. RNAcentral describes it as "partial 16S ribosomal RNA". It matches the Rfam family "Bacterial small subunit ribosomal RNA", at positions 524 to 776 of the family's 1533-position model. The record is from RNAcentral.